UACGUAGGUGGCAAGCGUUGUCCGGAUUUAUUGGGCGUAAAGCGCACGCAGGCGGCUGUGCGCGUGGGGUGUGAAAGCUGGCGGCUUAACUGCCAGACGCCACCUCAUACGGCACGGCUCGAGCCCGUGAGAGGUCCACGGAAUUGCCGGUGUAGUGGUGAAAUGCGUAGAGAUCGGCAGGAACACCCAGGGGGAAACCAGUGGACUGGCACGGUGCUGACGCUCAGGUGCGAAAGCGUGGGGAGCGAACCGG
Molecule: ribosomal RNA, 253 nt
Filed under: uncultured bacterium
Lineage: Bacteria
Description: partial 16S ribosomal RNA
Rfam family: Bacterial small subunit ribosomal RNA
Source: RNAcentral